UAGAGGCGAACCGAGUGGAAGUCCGUCCAAGAAAAUCUCCGCGGGAGCAGAGCGGUGACCGUACCAAAUCUGACACAGGAGGGCGAGGCGAAUAGCCUCAGGCGCUCGAGAGAACCAUACGUGAAGGAACUCGGCAAAUUAACCCCGUAAGUUCGCGGUAAGGGGUGCCCCCGCAAGGGGGCCACAGGAAAACGACAGCUGCGACUGUUUACUAAAAACACAGGUCUCUGCGAAGUCGUCAAAGACGACGUAUAGGGACUGACGCUUGCCCGCUGUUGGAACGUUAAGGUGACUGGUUAGCCGCAAGGCGAGGCUGGGAGCCGAAGCGCCAAUGAAGGGCGGCCGUAACGAUGACGGUCCUAAGGUAGCGAAAUUCCUUGUCGGGUAAGUUCCGACCCGCACGAAUAGCGUAACGACAGCUGUACUGUCUCCACGAUGGACUCGGCGAGAUUGUAGCUGUGGUGAAGAUGCCACAUACCCGCACCAAGACGGAAAGACCCCGUGAACCUUUACUGUAACCUAAUACUGGCUCUAGGUUCGCCAUGUGUAGCAUAGGUGGGAGACGUUAAAGUCGGGGGCGCCAGCCUCCGAAUAGUCAUCAGUGAAAUACCACUCUUGGCGUACUUGGAGUCUAACCUGCGACCGUUAUCCGGCGUGGGAACAGUGUUAGGCGGGCAGUUUGACUGGGGCGGUCUCCUCCUAAAAGGUAACGGAGAGUGCAAAGGUACCCUCAAUGCGGUUGGCAAUCGCAUGAAGAGCGUAAAGGUAUAAGGGUGCUUGGCUGCGAGACACAUAGGUCGAGCAGGUACGAAAGUAGGUCUUAGUGAUCCGGUGGUCCCGUGUGGAAGGGCCAUCGCUCAUCAGAUAAAAGGUACUCCGGGGAUAACAGGCUGAUCACGCCCAAGAGUCCAUAUCGACGGCGUGGUUUGGCACCUCGAUGUCGGCUCAUCGCAUCCUGGGGCUGAAGGCGGUCCCAAGGGUUGGUCUGUUCGCCCAUUAAAGCGGUACGUGAGCUGGGUUUAGACCGUCGUGAGACAGGUCGGUCCCUAUCUGGUGUGGGCGCAGGAUGAUUGCGGAGACUCAUUCCUAGUACGAGAGGAUUGGAAUGAACGGACCUCUGGUGUGCCAGUUGUCGCGCUAGCGGCAUCGCUGGAUAUCUAUGUCCGGGCUGGAUAAGCGCUGAAAGCAUCUAAGUGCGAAGCCAACUCCAAGACUGGUCAUCCCAUGAGACACCUGGUAGACCACCAGGUUGAUAGGCCGGAAGUGUAAGGACAGCAAUGUUCUCAGCUAACCGGUACUAACCAGUCGAUCGGCUUGAUC
RNAcentral lists this ribosomal RNA (1320 nucleotides) under metagenome. RNAcentral's name for it is "bacterial LSU rRNA". It matches the Rfam family "Bacterial large subunit ribosomal RNA", at positions 1580 to 2925 of the family's 2925-position model. The record is from RNAcentral.